This 925-nucleotide long non-coding RNA is filed under the name Fragaria vesca (wild strawberry). RNAcentral's name for it is "long non-coding RNA (FVES_LNC004906)". The record is from RNAcentral. Lineage: Eukaryota; Viridiplantae; Streptophyta; Magnoliopsida; Rosales; Rosaceae.
ACAAAAAAAAAACAAAAAAAAAUAAAAAAGUGUUCUAGAAUAUUCUCUAUGUGUGCCUUGGCCUUAUGCCAAUAGGAUAUGUAGUUAGACUAGAUUUAUGUAUUCAUAUCCUUACCAUAUUGGUAUUGUGUAAUUCCCUAUAUAAAGGGCUCAUAUCAAUAAUAAGAUGAUGAUUCUCUUGCUAUCUCUUUGUCUCGACCAUUAAUCCUUCAUCACGUUAUCAUGCACUUUUUUCUAACCCUAGAGCCAAUAGCCCACCAUUUUUUUUUCUAAACCCUAAAAACCAAAACCCUAAAAUCGGGCAGCCUUGUUUUUCCCGAUUUCUGAGCAAAAUUCCGACUGCCCUCCGCCGGAAUUUUAUAUCCCCAGAAAGCUCUCUCCGCCCCGGAUCCAACGCCGCCGGUCUCACCCUGAGAACCGGCCGGAAAGUCUCCGAACCGGCCGCCGGAAGAUUCCAGACCGCCGCCGCUACCGACCACCGGUUCACCACCUUCCCUUGCUCCGAUCAACCUGAAAUUUUGACAGCAGCUUCCCCAUCUAGAGCUGCUCCUCCUAUCAAAUUUUCAGCCCCAAAUUCGAAGUAUAAGUAGGCGAAACGUUAUUUCUCCUCUCGGCAGCCUCUAGAAAUGUAUGUUUUUUGAAACCUUAAACUUUUCCAAGUUCAAUAACUCGGGGAGGAUAAAAUCUUUUCCUCCCUUCUCCAUCUCCAUUCUAUGCUUGGGAUUUUUGCGUGCAGGUACCUAAAUCCCGGAAUUUUAUUCGCGAGUCAAGAGUGUGUUUGAUCACUCUUGUUUCUUUGUCCGGGUUGUGUUUGAUCAACCCCGACCUUUUCACCGGAUUGUGUUUGAUCAAUCCGAGGCCUUUUUCCGAAUUGUGUUUGAUCAAUUUCGCGGCUUUUCCGGAUUGUGUAUGAUCAAUCCGAAGG